Non-coding RNA from Podarcis lilfordi (Lilford's wall lizard), 77 nucleotides. Lineage: Eukaryota; Metazoa; Chordata; Lepidosauria; Squamata; Lacertidae. The record is from the annotation of a GenBank genome assembly.
GUCCUUGUUGAUACCUCAGUCAGUAGAGCAUGAGACUCUUAAUCUUGGCGUCGUGGGUUCGAGUCCCAUGUUGGACA